UAAUCUAACCUGUUCUGCAGGACUACCACAGCAACGUUAGGAGUUCAUCCACGGACUGCUACACAGGAGAAACAAUUAAUCCAACACAAUCCUGUGAUUUAUUUUAACCAAUGGCAUAACCGGCAUGACAUCAUGUUGCUGAAGCUUCAGAGACCAGUAAGAAAUAUCCGUCCUGUUCGGCUACCAAGAUGCAAUAAUCGUCUUACGAUUGGUGCUACAGUUCAGCUGGCAGGAGAAGGAC
This is a long non-coding RNA of Xiphophorus hellerii (green swordtail), 241 nucleotides long. RefSeq lists it as uncharacterized. Lineage: Eukaryota; Metazoa; Chordata; Actinopteri; Cyprinodontiformes; Poeciliidae. The record is from RefSeq and is a predicted model, not a curated record. The transcript has 2 exons.